UAGCGGAGGAAAAGAAACUAACAGGGAUUCCCUUAGUAAGGGCGACUGAACCGGGAAGAGCCCAGCGCAUAACCUCGCGUCCGGCCAGGGCGCGAGGGGUGUUGCGUUUCGGAGGGGUCCAGCACGUCGUCCCACACCGCCUAAGUCAUGCUUGAAAGCGGCCACUACCCGUGGAGGGUGAUAGGCCCGUGUGGCGGCGCCCGCGAGGGCAGGCGUGGGGCGGUCGGAAAGGGCCUCUCUGUAGAGUCGGGUUGCUUGAAAGUGCAGCCCAAAGCAGGUGGUAAACUCCUUCUAAAAGCUAA
RNAcentral lists this ribosomal RNA (302 nucleotides) under Lepidopa californica. RNAcentral's name for it is "eukaryotic LSU rRNA". It matches the Rfam family "Eukaryotic large subunit ribosomal RNA", at positions 48 to 319 of the family's 3401-position model. The record is from RNAcentral. Lineage: Eukaryota; Metazoa; Arthropoda; Malacostraca; Decapoda; Albuneidae.